Molecule: ribosomal RNA, 501 nt
Filed under: uncultured bacterium
Lineage: Bacteria
Description: partial 16S ribosomal RNA
Rfam family: Bacterial small subunit ribosomal RNA
Source: RNAcentral
AUUGAACGCUGGCGGCAGGCUUAACACAUGCAAGUCGAGCGGAGAGAGGUAGCUUGCUACUGAUCUUAGCGGCGGACGGGUGAGUAAUGCUUAGGAAUCUGCCUAUUAGUGGGGGACAACAUUUCGAAAGGAAUGCUAAUACCGCAUACGUCCUACGGGAGAAAGCAGGGGAUCUUCGGACCCUGCGCUAAUAGAUGAGCCUAAGUCGGAUUAGCUAGUUGGUGGGGUAAAGGCCUACCAAGGCGACGAUCUGUAGCGGGUCUGAGAGGAUGAUCCGCCACACUGGGACUGAGACACGGCCCAGACUCCUACGGGAGGCAGCAGUGGGGAAUAUUGGACAAUGGGCGCAAGCCUGAUCCAGCCAUGCCGCGUGUGUGAAGAAGGCCUUAUGGUUGUAAAGCACUUUAAGCGAGGAGGAGGCUACUUUAGAUAAUACCUAGAGAUAGUGGACGUUACUCGCAGAAUAAGCACCGGCUAACUCUGUGCCAGCCGCCGCAGUAA